Molecule: long non-coding RNA, 1009 nt
Organism: Helianthus annuus (common sunflower)
Lineage: Eukaryota; Viridiplantae; Streptophyta; Magnoliopsida; Asterales; Asteraceae
Exons: 4
Source: RefSeq, a predicted model, not a curated record
AAUUCAAGAUUAUAGCCAUCUUCAACAUCUGGGCUUCAGCUGCAUUUUUGGGCAAAAAAUAUGUAACAUUGGUGAUGCAGUCAUCGGCUCCUAACCGAGGUUCUCCGUGGGUGUGAAAAGUGUACCAACUGCCAAAAGUCUAAUCUAGAGAAUACUGUGGGUGUGUUAACAAUGGCUGGUAAAAGGUUUUCCGUUUUCGUGGUUUGGUCACUCCCAUCUUGGCUUGCAUGCAUGGUUUAGAAGUAGGCGAUGAGAUGAACUUGGCAGCUGGGAUUUAGGUUGCCCAGUUGGCACAUAAGCAUCGCCAGAACAAAAAAAAAAAAACCAACAACAAUGGAUAAUCGUGUUUGCAGGAGGGUUAGGGAAAUUGAGAGAGAAGCACAUGAAGAAGUCGGAACUCUGCCAGAGAAAGAUGCUAAACAAUAUGUUGCCCUUGACUUGAUUUCAAGGCUGAAGAACCAUCGGUUUUACGAUGAUGAUGAUAAUCCAAAAGGUAGUUUCUUUCUUGAAUUCAAGUGAAGAAAUUUUACCCUAUGUUUUUAGAGGUGGCUAAACAUGUUGGUUGAGUAACGGGUUAAAAUGAGUUUGGGUCUAAACAAGUCGGGUCGGGUUUUUUUGAGUUGCCAACUUUUUUUUUUCAUGUUUAUAUUUAGAUUUUAGAUAUGAAUAGCACUUGUAUCAUUAACUUGGUAGCGUAUUUAUUUCAGAUUAUACAGCACCUAGGAUUGCAAGUAUAUAAGGAAAGUUCAAACCUUUAUACUUGACCCGUUAUCAAAUAAAUUCCAACCCAGUUUAACCAGUUUUCAUAUGAACGAUUUAAGAAUUAAGAUUGCCAGUUCGCCAUACCUUGUUAUUGGAGUCCAAUUGUUUCCUGCUUUAUACUUUCAUAGUAUGUGAUACAUGUUAAGAGAAAGAUGUACGCUUUGACAUAUAAAGUCAAAAUAAUUCCUUACAUUUUCAAAUUGAAGAUGGAUUUUGUUACUUAUUUAAUUAUAUAAAUUUCCAAUUA